Molecule: long non-coding RNA, 3203 nt
Filed under: Solanum tuberosum (potato)
Lineage: Eukaryota; Viridiplantae; Streptophyta; Magnoliopsida; Solanales; Solanaceae
Description: long non-coding RNA (STUB_LNC007137)
Source: RNAcentral
CCGUAUUUCUCUUUUCUUACUAUCUGAAGAAUGGUAAAAAGUUAAUUUUAUGCUAAAAGAGAAAAAGACAGAUAAUUCUGGAAGCAUGCUCUUCCAUCUUCUUCCCAGGUGGGUAUCGCCAUUUAGGUAUUCUUUUCUUUUAUUUGUAGCCCAAAUCUUCUUUCAGCUCUUUACACUCUCUCUUCAAUCUUUUUCAGAUUGAGCAUCUCAAGCUGAAUGAGAUAUGCUUCUGUUAAUUUUUGCAGAGAAAUUGUUACUACCAGGGUAGAAAAAGAUGUUGAGGGAGACAAAUUUUUUGGCCUUUGUCGCAACAUUAAUUUCAUUUUGUUACCCUUUCAUCGGAUUGGGUCUUGUGAUUGGUAAAGCCUCGACUGUUCUCUUUCUCAUUUUGUUUCUUGUUUUUCAUCUUAAGUUCCAAAAAUAUAUCGAAGAAUCUUGUGUAUUUUGAUCUUAGUUCCAAUCAUGGAGAAAGCAUUUAUAGGUAUUAUGUAAUGAUAUUUUGCAACUCUAAAAGUCUUAACUUAUGACAUUUCUUAAUAUAUCAUAGUGAGAUAUAAAUUGAUCCAGCUCUUAGAAUUUGUCUUGAUACUAGAUCAUUGAAUAUUGAUUUAUACAGCAGACCUCAACUUGUUUGAGACUGAGGCAUAUUUGUCAUCGUAUAAUUUUUCCAAAACUUGCUCAUGAUUAAUAUUGGAGCGUAAAUAUCAACUUAGCUAAUAUUUCUGAAACCAAACAAGACAUACACUUGGUUGGAAUAAGGUCACAAAAAGUAUCACACAGACUACUGAUGUUUCUCUUAAUUUUAAAGCUGUUCUUUUUUAUGGAGUGAAGGAUACACUAAAAUCACCUCCACCAGAAAAUCAGACCAUGAAGAAGGCGUCAAUAAGCGCUAUAGUUAUUACCACUUUAUUUUAUCUAUGUUGUAGUUUCUUCGGAUAUGCAGCCGUUGGGAACGACAUACCUGCAGGGAACCUCUUGACAGGUUUCUACAAGCCGUUUUGGCUUGUUGAUUUUGCCAAUGACUGCAUAGUCCUUCAUCUGUUUGGAAGGUAUUAGGUAGAACAAAAAUUCGAGUGUUUUCCUUCCGCCCUUUACUUAGUUAAUGAAAAUUUUAACUUUAACAUGACAAAUGCUUGUUUCCUUAGGUAUAUAGCCAGCCAGUAUUCCCAUUUGUUGAAAAAAUGGGCAAUUCAGAAGUACCUGAAAAUAGAUUUUUAAAAGUUCUACGCCAUCAAACUUCCAACAUUCCUAGCUCUUCAGUUGAACCUCUUUUGGUUAUGUUUUCGGACUUUAUAUGUUAUAGCUAGAACAUCAAUAGCAUUGACAUUCCCUUAAUUCAAUCAGGUAUUUGAAAUCUUGAGAGGAUUGAACUUUUGGCCUAUGACCAUAUAUUUUCCAGUGGAAAUGUACAUUGUGCAAGGAAAAAUUGGAGCUUGGACAAAAAACUGAAUACAUCUUGAAGGUUUCAGUCUGCUUGAUUGAGCAUUUCUGAAAAUAUUAAUAGUUAUUCUGAAAAGAGUCAUAAGGUACAUGGUGAUUUCUUUUCACGUUUUGCUUUGAUCAGAUGUUCUCUCCAAUUAUUUCUUUCCAUCGUUUGCUUACUACAUUGUUUUCUUUAGGAUUUCUCUGUUACUCCAUGUAUCCAUCCAUGUCCUGCUGGUAAUUGGUAAAGUGGACUCAGUUAAUUUAGAAUUUGAACUUGAAGUCGAUUUUUGCCUACUAGGUAUUCUCAAACAUUCAGCUACGCAGGAAAGGCUAUCUAACCACCAGGUUUGGUUUGAAUAGAGAUUCAAAUGUUGUCUUUUCCUAGGUUCUACUUCUAACUUUCCUUUACAUGUUCUAAAUUGUUGGAAAUCAUCAACUUGAUGUUUGUGCUGCAUUCCCCUACUUUUAUUAGAGCGAACAAAUUCCUGCUUAUUUUACAAAAGUCAUUCCAAGUACAUGCAUUACUUCUAUUGAUCCACCAUGUUCAUCCACUAACUUCUCAAAGUUGCAGAGAUAUUUUUAGAUUAUGACAUUUCCUCUAAAAUGUUGAUUAGGAAUCUGUAAAGCUUGCUUAAUGUUGGAUAAUAGAAAAGAUAUGACUUUCCCUAUCUUGAUAUAGAAGUUUACUGUAAGCAGUGAUGUGAAAAUAUUGAUAAAUUUCCAUGUGAAUGAACAGACAAAGAAAAGAUCAUUAAAGUACUAUCUAUGUAGAAGAUCUCAUUUAGAAUUAUAUGUCGGAAUUCUUUCUGUUAUCCUUGACAUUGACAAACAAAUCAUGUUCUUCACAUUUUCCUUAUUCAAUUAUGUAUAUUCAUCAGUUUUUACUUGUCAGAGUAUCUUCUUCUUCAUUUUUAGCCGCUACACCAAAACAAAUUAAAGAAACUAUGAAGUUGGGUGGCUUCAUCCAUGAUGAAGUGAAAACCAUUGACAAUUGCUCUUUUUGUGUAUAUACAUUAGUAUUCUUUAUCAAUUCUCCUAUAGCAUUCACGUUUUUUUAUUUACAUGGCGCUUGAUUCUAGAUAUAUUACUGAAAUGCUUCUUAAAUUGCAGAUAAGCAUAUUUCAUAUUUGGUGUCUUCCAAUCCUAAGCUGUCCAAAAAUCAUUGUUUAUGUAGGAGUACAAUGUAUAAUUAAAUAUACAUACUUUCUAAGGACGUUUGCUAUUUGCCCAUGAUAGAACAAACUAUAUUUUGUUGCAAUGCAGUUGUAACUUACAACCACCUGAUCAUGUGAUUAAUUUGGAAGUUUUGACUGAUAGACUAUGGUGCUCAAACUCUGUUAAAAUGUCAUCGGGUUUGUGUUGGAUCCUUCAAAAGUAGUGUAUUUUUGUUGGAUCUAAUAGGUGCAACAACACUUUUGAAGUACUACUGUUGAAGUUAUUUAGGCUAAUAGGUUUUUUUUGUUUCAGGUUUGAAUGAUGGAUGAUAAACACAAGUGAUAAAUCUAUUGUGAAGGGUGGAUUCAUUUUUCUUGGGGAAAAUGUAGACAAACACAUUAUUUGUGCUCUUUUUUUUGUGAAUUUCAAAGUUAAUUUUCAAUUAGAUGUAUACAAAUGGUGGUGAUGGAGCUACUGGUUCUUACCUAUGAAGUAUGCUCAUGUAGCUAUGGUUGCAAUGAAUUUUAUGGGAAGAGUUAGGCACCUGUAACGUAUUUUGAAGAUUGUUGCCAUAUUUUAAAAAGAAUGCUUAUGCUUCUAUGUUGUUUCAGUGUGAUUUUAGA